Molecule: ribosomal RNA, 253 nt
Filed under: uncultured bacterium
Lineage: Bacteria
Description: partial 16S ribosomal RNA
Rfam family: Bacterial small subunit ribosomal RNA
Source: RNAcentral
UACGGGGGGGGCAAGCGUUGUUCGGAAUUACUGGGCGUAAAGGGUUUGUAGGUGGCCCGCUAAGUCACACGUGAAAUCCCUCAGCUUAACUGGGGAACUGCGUGUGAGACUGGCAGGCUCGAGGGCAGGAGAGGAACGCGGAAUUCCAGGUGUAGCGGUGAAAUGCGUAGAUAUCUGGAGGAACACCAAUAGCGAAGGCAGCUCGCUGGGACGGUAUUGACGCUAAGGCGCGAAAGCGUGGGGAGCAAACAGG